Molecule: ribosomal RNA, 433 nt
Filed under: uncultured bacterium
Lineage: Bacteria
Description: partial 16S ribosomal RNA
Rfam family: Bacterial small subunit ribosomal RNA
Source: RNAcentral
AACGAACGCUGGCGGCAUGCCUAACACAUGCAAGUCGAACGAGACCUUCGGGUCUCGUGGCGCACGGGUGCGUAACGCGUGGGAACCUGCCCUUAGGUUCGGAAUAACUCCCCGAAAGGGGUGCUAAUACCGGAUAAUGUCUUCGGACCAAAGAUUGAUCGCCUUUGGAUGGGCCCGCGUUGGAUUAGCUAGUUGGUAGGGUAAAAGCCUACCAAGGCGACGAUCCAUAGCUGGUCUGAGAGGAUGAUCAGCCACACUGGGACUGAGACACGGCCCAGACUCCUACGGGAGGCAGCAGUGGGGAAUAUUGGACAAUGGGCGAAAGCCUGAUCCAGCAAUGCCGCGUGAGUGAUGAAGGCCUUAGGGUUGUAAAGCUCUUUUACCCGGGAUGAUAAUGACAGUACCGGGAGAAUAAGCUCCGGCUAACUCCGUG